CCUACGGGAGGCAGCAGUGGGGAAUAUUGCACAAUGGGCGAAAGCCUGAUGCAGCGAUGCCGCGUGCGGGAAGAAGGCCUUAGGGUUGUAAACCGCUUUCAGUAGGGAAGAAAAUGACGGUACCUACAGAAGAAGGUGCGGCCAACUACGUGCCAGCAGCCGCGGUGACACGUAGGCACCAAGCGUUGUCCGGAUUUAUUGGGCGUAAAGAGCUCGUAGGCGGUUUGGUAAGUCGGGUGUGAAAACUCUGGGCUCAACCCAGAGAGGCCACUCGAUACUGCUAUGACUUGAGUACGGUAGGGGAGUGGGGAAUUUCUAGUGUAGCGGUGAAAUGCGCAGAUAUUAGAAGGAACACCAGUGGCGAAGGCGCCACUCUGGGCCGUAACUGACGCUGAGGAGCGAAAGCAUGGGUAGCAAACAGGAUUAGAUACCCUGGUAGUCCAUGCCGUAAACGUUGGGCACUAGGUGUGGGUCUCAACCAACGAGAUCCGCGCCGUCGCUAACGCAUUAAGUGUCCCGCCUGGGGAUACGGUCGCAAGACUAAAAACUCAAAAGAUAUAGCGNGAGAGAGCGACGACGACGACGACGGAGGAGG
This 595-nucleotide ribosomal RNA is filed under the name uncultured bacterium. Its description in RNAcentral is "bacterial SSU rRNA". It matches the Rfam family "Bacterial small subunit ribosomal RNA", at positions 338 to 947 of the family's 1533-position model. The record is from RNAcentral.